Mustela erminea (ermine) is the source of this 1480-nucleotide long non-coding RNA. RefSeq lists it as uncharacterized. The record is from RefSeq and is a predicted model, not a curated record. The transcript is spliced from 7 exons. Lineage: Eukaryota; Metazoa; Chordata; Mammalia; Carnivora; Mustelidae.
UCAUCAGAGGCACCAGCCGGUCUGCAGGCAGGGCCCACGCCGCACUAUGCCCGCGCCACAGUGGUUGCCCACUGUCGCCGGGAGGCCACCCGCCGGUGGUUCUGGGCCCGGGCCGUGUCGUCCAGCACCACGAGGCAGCCUCAAGUCGGCCCCUCUGGGAAGAGCCGCUGGUCAUUAGCCGCCCCCGGGUUUUCAGCCGCCGACGACACCAGGCGCGCGGCUCGCAUCUCGGCUCCUUGGUUUGCCGCUCAGGUCCAGGAGCAAGUGGCGCCUCCCCACCAGGGCGCUCGCUUCGUGGCAGGCUCCCGGGUAGUGAACCAGGCCGAGCGGCGCCUCCAGAGGCCGCACCUGAAGCCCGGCCGACGUUCUGAAGCCUCUGCGGACCGUCUGAGGAGACGCCCGCCCCGCCACCGUCGGGGGAGCUCCGGGAGCGCCAUCUUCAUUCCCGUCUCGGGCUAGGACUCCUUGAACUCUUGAGUCUUCUGCGCCCCCAGCAACCGUGAGCGCCCGAGUGGCACCACACAGCCCCAAGGGCAAGACCUCUGCGGGCCCUGGGGUGCCAGAGCUCCGGCCUGCCCGGAAGAGCAGUGACGGGGGCGCCGCCAUCUUGGUGGCAGCACAGAAGGAACGCCGGGACCGAGUCGUCGCCCCCCAGACCGCUCAGAGCCGGCCUCCUACGCGACCUGGGACACAGCAGUGCCCAUCUUGAAAUGCUGUAAUGAAGACAGAAUGAGUUAAUGUAUGUGAAGAACCGAAAACAGUUCCUGGCAUGCAAUAAAUACUUAGGGAAGGGGCAUGCAAUAACUUGUUGGAGAAUCCAGGUAAUCAGCAUGUCAGCGCCCCAACUCUAGAAUGCUAGAAUAACUUUGAGUCAACAUGGGAAAUUUGGAGAAAAUGUUUACAGCAAUGCCACAAACACACAUACAACUCAAUAUGCAAAUGAAGCCAGUCUUAGGUUUUACCCAAGCAACUCCCGUGAACCAACAUUUGUAGCUAGCAGACCUGCUUUGCCUGAAAUGUGAAAAGAAGUUCUUUAGAGAGAAGAAAAGUAAUAUAGAUUAGAAACUUGGAGCUACAUAAAGAGAGGAAGAACAUCAAAGAAGAAAUAAGUGAAGGUGAGAAGAUUUGCCACUAGUGGAUAGACAUUAUAAGUGCUUCCAUUCCGCAAUGGGACCACUGCGUGAGAAAAGCAUCAGUUGCCCCUCGAGAGGGGGCUCCAAGUGCCGGAUGCAGCCACCAUAUUCCUCAGCUCUCCCCCAACCCUUCCCCAAAGCAGCAGCCAGCAGCCAUUUGUCACCAAGCUUCUGUUGUCGCCUUUCUGCCUUUCUUAUACCGGACUCAGUUUAUUCACUUAUAUUACCUACUGCCCUCUGUCGGCAUUUGAGUUUUCUAGCACCUUCCAUGCCAUGAAGUAUUUCUUCUCUUUCCUUCCAAUUCCUGGCCCAAUAAUCUUUUUUUUUUUUUUUGGUUCAUUUUGUUU